This 401-nucleotide ribosomal RNA is filed under the name uncultured Prevotella sp. Its description in RNAcentral is "bacterial SSU rRNA". It matches the Rfam family "Bacterial small subunit ribosomal RNA", at positions 455 to 860 of the family's 1533-position model. The record is from RNAcentral. Lineage: Bacteria; Pseudomonadati; Bacteroidota; Bacteroidia; Bacteroidales; Prevotellaceae.
GUUGUGAAAGCAACCUGACGGUACCAUACGAAUAAGGACCGGCUAAUUCCGUGCCAGCAGCCGCGGUAAUACGGAAGGUCCAGGCGUUAUCCGGAUUUAUGGGUUUAAAGGGAGCGUAGGCUGGAGAUUAAGUGUGUUGUGAAAUGUAGACGCUCAACGUCUGAAUUGCAGCGCAUACUGGUUUCCUUGAGUACGCACAACGUUGGCGGAAUUCGUCGUGUAGCGGUGAAAUGCUUAGAUAUGACGAAGAACUCCGAUUGCGAAGGCAGCUGACGGGAGCGCAACUGACGCUUAAGCUCGAAGGUGCGGGUAUCAAACAGGAUUAGAUACCCUGGUAGUCCGCACAGUAAACGAUGGAUGCCCGCUGUUGGUACCUGGUAUCAGCGGCGUCGACGCGGCCG